This 395-nucleotide ribosomal RNA is filed under the name Melanochelys trijuga indopeninsularis. RNAcentral describes it as "partial 12S ribosomal RNA". It matches the Rfam family "Bacterial small subunit ribosomal RNA", at positions 794 to 1382 of the family's 1533-position model. The record is from RNAcentral. Lineage: Eukaryota; Metazoa; Chordata; Testudines; Geoemydidae.
GCUUAGCCCUAAACUUAGAUAUUUUAACACACAAAAAUAUCCGCCAGAGAACUACGAGCAAAAUGCUUAAAACUCUAAGGACUUGGCGGUACCUCAAACCCCCCUAGAGGAGCUUGUUCUAUAAAUCGAUAAUCCACGAUUCACCUCACCAUCUUUUGCCAAUCCCGCCUAUAUACCGCCGUCACCAGCUUACCCCAUGAGGGAUAUAAAAGUAAGCAAAAUAACUAACAGUUAAUAAGUCAGGUCAAGGUGUAGCUAAUUAAGAUGGAAGAAAUGGGCUACAUUUUCUACUUUAGAAAUCAAUUCACGGAAGGGAACUAUGAAAUAAGUCCCACAAGCAGGAUUUAGCAGUAAACUGAGAUCAGAGUGCCCAAUUUAAGCUGGUCCUGAGGUGC